RNAcentral lists this ribosomal RNA (465 nucleotides) under Vreelandella stevensii. RNAcentral's name for it is "partial 16S ribosomal RNA". It matches the Rfam family "Bacterial small subunit ribosomal RNA", at positions 338 to 795 of the family's 1533-position model. Lineage: Bacteria; Pseudomonadati; Pseudomonadota; Gammaproteobacteria; Oceanospirillales; Halomonadaceae. The record is from RNAcentral.
CCUACGGGUGGCAGCAGUGGGGAAUAUUGGACAAUGGGCGAAAGCCUGAUCCAGCCAUGCCGCGUGUGUGAAGAAGGCCUUCGGGUUGUAAAGCACUUUCAGUGGGGAAGAAAGCCUUGGGGCUAAUACCCUCGAGGAAGGACAUCACCCACAGAAGAAGCACCGACUAACUCCGUGCCAGCAGCCGCGGUAAUACGGAGGGUGCGAGCGUUAAUCGGAAUUACUGGGCGUAAAGCGCGCGUAGGCGGUCUGAUAAGCCGGUUGUGAAAGCCCCGGGCUCAACCUGGGAACGGCAUCCGGAACUGUCAGGCUAGAGUGCAGGAGAGGAAGGUAGAAUUCCCGGUGUAGCGGUGAAAUGCGUAGAGAUCGGGAGGAAUACCAGUGGCGAAGGCGGUCUUCUGGACUGACACUGACGCUGAGGUGCGAAAGCGUGGGUAGCAAACAGGAUUAGAUACCCUAGUAGUC